GAUGAACGCUGGCGGCGUGCCUAAUACAUGCAAGUCGAGCGAACAGACUAGGAGCUUGCUCCUCUGACGUUAGCGGCGGACGGGUGAGUAACACGUGGAUAACCUCCCUAUAAGACUGGGAUAACUUCGGGAAACCGGAGCUAAUACCGUAUAAUAUAUUGAACCGCAUGGUUCAAUAGUGAAAGACGGUUUUGCUGUCACUUAUAGAUGGAUCCGCGCCGCAUUAGCUAGUUGGUAAGGUAACGGCUUACCAAGGCAACGAUGCGUAGCCGACCUGAGAGGGUGAUCGGCCACACUGGAACUGAGACACGGUCCAGACUCCUACGGGAGGCAGCAGUAGGGAAUCUUCAGAAAUGGGCGAAAGCCUGACGGAGCAACGCCGCGUGAGUGAUGAAGGUCUUCGGAUCGUAAAACUCUGUUAUUAGGGAAGAACAAAUGUGUAAGUAACUAUGCACGUCUUGACGGUACCUAAUCAGAAAGCCACGGCUAACUACGUG
RNAcentral lists this ribosomal RNA (497 nucleotides) under uncultured bacterium. RNAcentral describes it as "partial 16S ribosomal RNA". It matches the Rfam family "Bacterial small subunit ribosomal RNA", at positions 28 to 507 of the family's 1533-position model. The record is from RNAcentral.